GGCCCGCGCAGUGCCCGCGCUGGGCUCGGGCUGAUUGGCUGUGGCCUUCGCGCCCCGGCGCUGGGAAAUGGUCUCUGUGCCUAGCAAAGGGAUCGACACUGGGGUGCUGCCCGCCUCGGGGCUCUCCCCCGCCCAGGCGGCGGGAAAUGGUCUCUGUGCCUAGCAAAGGGAUCGACACUGGGGUGCUGCCCGCCUCGGGGCUCUCCCCCGCCCAGGCGCUGGGAAAUGGUCUCUGUGCCUAGCGAAGGGAUCGACACUGGGGUGCUGCCCGCCUCGGGGCUCUCCCCCGCCUGGACAGUGCCUGCAGAGAAUCCCCUGGCGCUGCCAACGACAAGCUCCUGAGGGGCAGGACCCUCCCUGCUUCGGACGGCUUCCCACCGUUGCUCAUCAUUUUGCAUGGUCUGAGUUGAGAGCGAGGGGCAGUGGAGCUUGACAGGCCACGGGAGCUGUGACAGGACCAGGCACUGAGCGGGGACAAAGUGAAAGGGGAAAAAGACCCAGGAGGGGCACUACAGCAGAUGAAGGGAGCUGGAGGCUUCAAGCUCGUGUUGCAGCCAUGGACUGUGGCUCCCCUAAGCUGAGCCCUCUCCACAGAGCUGGCUGGUUAGCCUGGCCUUGGAAACAUGCUGGAGUCCUUCUACUGUCCUCCUGUGGUACUUCUUAGGCCUGCCUUUCUUCCACAACAUCUGCAAGGAGGCAGCUGGCAGAACCUAGAAGUGGCUUCCAGGACCAGACACAUGUAAUUCUCCCUUUGGAAUGUCAUUCCCACCAUGGUGGCUAAGGGAGGCGAAGUGUGGACAUUGCUAAGUCCUCUUCCCCCCUCUUUGUGUCUGAUCAUAACAGUCUUUUCCAAUCUUAAUAAUUCUAUGAUCUGUGUGUCUGUGCUUGCACUAAUAGUUGCCUGUCCCCCUCCUCACAUUGUCCUUUUAUGGCACCAAGGUCACUUUGAUGUUUUUCUCACUCUCACUCAGCUUAGUUCCUCUACAAGAUAAAAUGUUCUGUCAA
Molecule: long non-coding RNA, 1005 nt
Organism: Pogoniulus pusillus (Red-fronted tinkerbird)
Lineage: Eukaryota; Metazoa; Chordata; Aves; Piciformes; Lybiidae
Exons: 3
Source: RefSeq, a predicted model, not a curated record